GGCCGCAUAGUUCAGUCGGUUAGAGCAUCGUGCUAAUAACGCGAGGGUCGACAGUAUGAGCCUGUCUGUGGCCA
Non-coding RNA from Symsagittifera roscoffensis, 74 nucleotides. The record is from the annotation of a RefSeq genome assembly. Lineage: Eukaryota; Metazoa; Xenacoelomorpha; Acoela; Convolutidae.